UACGUAGGGGGCAAGCGUUGUCCGGAUUUAUUGGGCGUAAAGAGCGUGUAGGCGGCCGUACAGGUCAGCUGUGAAAACUCGAGGCUCAACCUCGAGACGUCGGUUGAAACCGUACGGCUAGAGUCCGGAAGAGGAGAGUGGAAUUCCCGGUGUAGCGGUGAAAUGCGCAGAUAUCGGGAAGAACACCCGUGGCGAAGGCGACUCUCUGGGACGGUACUGACGCUGAGACGCGAAAGCGUGGGGAGCGAACAGG
This 253-nucleotide ribosomal RNA is filed under the name uncultured bacterium. Its description in RNAcentral is "partial 16S ribosomal RNA". It matches the Rfam family "Bacterial small subunit ribosomal RNA", at positions 524 to 776 of the family's 1533-position model. The record is from RNAcentral.